AUUGAACGCUGGCGGCAUGCCUUACACAUGCAAGUCGAACGGUAACAGGUCUUCGGAUGCUGACGAGUGGCGAACGGGUGAGUAAUACAUCGGAACGUGCCUAGUAGUGGGGGAUAACUACUCGAAAGAGUGGCUAAUACCGCAUGAGAUCUACGGAUGAAAGCAGGGGAUCGCAAGACCUUGUGCUACUAGAGCGGCCGAUGGCAGAUUAGGUAGUUGGUGGGAUAAAAGCUUACCAAGCCGACGAUCUGUAGCUGUCUGAGAGGACGAUCAGCCACAAGGGGACUGAGACACGGCCCAGACUCCUACGGGAGGCAGCAGUGGGGAAUUUUGGACAAUGGGCGAAAGCCUGAUCCAGCAAUGCCGCGUGCAGGAUGAAGGCCUUCGGGUUGUAAACUGCUUUUGUACGGAACGAAAAGCCCCGGGUUAAUACCCUGGGGUCAUGACGGUACCGUAAGAAUAAGCACCGGCUAACUACGUGCCAGCAGCCGCAGUAA
This 497-nucleotide ribosomal RNA is filed under the name uncultured bacterium. RNAcentral's name for it is "partial 16S ribosomal RNA". It matches the Rfam family "Bacterial small subunit ribosomal RNA", at positions 30 to 523 of the family's 1533-position model. The record is from RNAcentral.